UGAGGCAUUUCUAAGUGAGUUAGGAGCCACAACAAUUGUAGAACACACAGUGUUUAACAAGUAUACCACAGUAAA
This 75-nucleotide ribosomal RNA is filed under the name Entamoeba histolytica. Its description in RNAcentral is "partial small subunit ribosomal RNA". Lineage: Eukaryota; Evosea; Mastigamoebida; Endamoebidae. The record is from RNAcentral.